GGGAAAAAAAUUACAUCAUUGAAAUUCAUCCAAAUGGAAAGUGAAAACUAUCUAUUCCGUUGUGUAAAAAUUAUCUUUACCAGAAUACUCUAUUGCAACACCGCUUCUGAAAACUGUAGGAACUUCAUCCACUCCAUAAUUCAUGUCAAAACUUCAAAAAAAUUAUAAGAAAACCAAAUUCUCAUCAUCAUAUAUACGUUUCACCAUUUCUGUUGACAAAUUCUUCAGUACAGUUUUCUUUAACACAUUCUUCCGCUUGUUAUAAUUAAAAUAUAUUUUUAAGCAAUUUUAACUUAGUCCAGAUUUUAUUUUAACAUGUAAACUGUAUGUUAUAUAUUAUUGGCUACGAAUUUUUCAACAGACUGAAAAGAAAAGCUGUGGAC
Molecule: long non-coding RNA, 383 nt
Filed under: Brassica napus (rape)
Lineage: Eukaryota; Viridiplantae; Streptophyta; Magnoliopsida; Brassicales; Brassicaceae
Description: long non-coding RNA (BNAP_LNC022137)
Source: RNAcentral